RNAcentral lists this ribosomal RNA (211 nucleotides) under Enterobacter hormaechei subsp. xiangfangensis. Its description in RNAcentral is "partial 23S ribosomal RNA". It matches the Rfam family "Bacterial large subunit ribosomal RNA", at positions 1662 to 1856 of the family's 2925-position model. The record is from RNAcentral. Lineage: Bacteria; Pseudomonadati; Pseudomonadota; Gammaproteobacteria; Enterobacterales; Enterobacteriaceae.
GGUGGUCAGGUAGAGAAUACCAAGGCGCUUGAGAGAACUCGGGUGAAGGAACUAGGCAAAAUGGUGCCGUAACUUCGGGAGAAGGCACGCUGAUAGGUAGGUGAAGUCCCUGCGGACGGAGCUGAAAUCAGUCGAAGAUACCAGCUGGCUGCAACUGUUUAUUAAAAACACAGCACUGUGCAAACACGAAAGUGGACGUAUACGGUGUGAC